AGCAGAACCCCGUGCCCAUCCUCCAUGGCACAGCAGUCUUGGCCGAUGAUGUCUGUAUGAGCUGUUGGCUGUUGUGCGAGGCCAGCUGGGGCCACAUGUGGACAGCCAGGAAGACCUGACCUUUCUCUGGGAUAUGUUUGGUGAGAAAAGCCUGCAUUCACUGGUAAAGGUCUGCUCUCCACUUGGCCUGUGCCAAAGGCCAUG
Molecule: long non-coding RNA, 204 nt
Filed under: Canis lupus familiaris (dog)
Lineage: Eukaryota; Metazoa; Chordata; Mammalia; Carnivora; Canidae
Description: lncRNA (ENSCAFG00040018664.1)
Source: RNAcentral